Molecule: ribosomal RNA, 253 nt
Filed under: uncultured bacterium
Lineage: Bacteria
Description: partial 16S ribosomal RNA
Rfam family: Bacterial small subunit ribosomal RNA
Source: RNAcentral
UACGUAGGCAGCGAGCGUUGUUCGGAGUUACUGGGCGUAAAGAGUGCGUAGGCGGUUUUCUAAGUUUGGUGUGAAAUCUCCCGGCUUAACUGGGAGGGUGCGCCGAAGACUGGAAGGCUUGAGUAUGGGAGAGGUAAGCGGAAUUCCUGGUGUAGCGGUGAAAUGCGUAGAUAUCAGGAGGAACACCCGUGGCGAAGGCGGCCUUCUGGGGCAUUCCUGACACUGAGAAGCGAAAGCUAGGGGAGCAAACGGG